Molecule: ribosomal RNA, 535 nt
Filed under: uncultured bacterium
Lineage: Bacteria
Description: partial 16S ribosomal RNA
Rfam family: Bacterial small subunit ribosomal RNA
Source: RNAcentral
UGGGGAAUUUUGGACAAUGGGGGAAACCCUGAUCCAGCCAUCCCGCGUGUGCGAUGAAGGCCUUCGGGUUGUAAAGCACUUUUGGCAGGAAAGAAACGUCGCGGGUUAAUACCCCGCGAAACUGACGGUACCUGCAGAAUAAGCACCGGCUAACUACGUGCCAGCAGCCGCGGUAAUACGUAGGGUGCAAGCGUUAAUCGGAAUUACUGGGCGUAAAGCGUGCGCAGGCGGUUCGGAAAGAAAGAUGUGAAAUCCCAGAGCUUAACUUUGGAACUGCAUUUUUAACUACCGGGCUAGAGUGUGUCAGAGGGAGGUGGAAUUCCGCGUGUAGCAGUGAAAUGCGUAGAUAUGCGGAGGAACACCGAUGGCGAAGGCAGCCUCCUGGGAUAACACUGACGCUCAUGCACGAAAGCGUGGGGAGCAAACAGGAUUAGAUACCCUGGUAGUCCACGCCCUAAACGAUGUCAACUAGCUGUUGGGGCCUUCGGGCCUUGGUAGCGCGGCUAACGCGUGAAGUUGACCGCCUGGGGAGUAC